Long non-coding RNA from Lepidothrix coronata (blue-crowned manakin), 380 nucleotides. RefSeq lists it as uncharacterized. The transcript has 3 exons. The record is from RefSeq and is a predicted model, not a curated record. NCBI's taxonomy places the organism in Eukaryota, Metazoa, Chordata, Aves, Passeriformes, Pipridae.
AGACAGAUCAGCAGAUGUAAGGGGGGUACUUUUGAAUUAGAUGAUCAAUGGAGCAUAGAGGCGUGAGAACGGAAUCAUAUUAGGAUGUGAAACCAGCUAGAGUAUGGUACAAUGUAACUUCGUGGCACAAGCUAAUUGUAAGGUCCAUUGUGCUUUUUAGCAAGUCAGCUUGAUAUCCCCUAUUAUCAGAGCUGAGUUCUUCCUUGGUUUUGCUACAUAUUGCAAGAUAGAUACAUCUACCCUUGAAACACAAUGGUAGAGGUCAUACAUAGGGGUGAGAAAGAUGAUGAUGGGAGGAAGAUUAUGUGGGCAGGGGUCACUCGCCCCUUGCCCUACAGCAGGGCAUGCGCAGACUGUUGCUAUCAGGAUGGGAAGAGCAC